UGCAGACACACAUGGCCUCCUCCAAUAU
This 28-nucleotide non-coding RNA is filed under the name Rattus norvegicus (Norway rat). The record is from RNAcentral. Lineage: Eukaryota; Metazoa; Chordata; Mammalia; Rodentia; Muridae.